This 405-nucleotide ribosomal RNA is filed under the name uncultured bacterium. RNAcentral describes it as "bacterial SSU rRNA". It matches the Rfam family "Bacterial small subunit ribosomal RNA", at positions 355 to 776 of the family's 1533-position model. The record is from RNAcentral.
UGGGGAAUAUUGCACAAUGGGGGAAACCCUGAUGCAGCGACGCCGCGUGAGUGAAGGAGUACCUCGGUACGUAAAGCUCUAUCAGCAGGAAAGAAAGAGGACGGUACCUGACUAAGAAGCCCCGGCUAACUACGUGCCAGCAGCCGCGGUAAUACGUAGGGGGCAAGCGUUAUCCGGAUUUACUGGGUGUAAAGGGAGCGUAGACGGCAUAGCAAGUCCGGAGUGAAAGCCCGCGGCCCAACCGGGGGACUGCUCUGGAAACUGUCAGGCUGGAGUGCAGGAGAGGUAAGCGGAAUUCCUAGUGUAGCGGUGAAAUGCGUAGAUAUUAGGAGGAACACCAGUGGCGAAGGCGGCUUACUGGACUGUAACUGACGUUGAGGCUCGAAAGCGUGGGGAGCAAACAGG